RNAcentral lists this long non-coding RNA (2585 nucleotides) under Eucalyptus grandis. Its description in RNAcentral is "long non-coding RNA (EGRA_LNC005435)". Lineage: Eukaryota; Viridiplantae; Streptophyta; Magnoliopsida; Myrtales; Myrtaceae. The record is from RNAcentral.
ACAAUUGUCACGCCCCGAUCCUCAGACACGCACACAUCCGUCUCACUUGGUCGAUUUUAUAAUGCGAUAUCCCAAGACAAUGUAUCGCCGACCCUUUCAUUUUUAAGCACAUGCGGAAGCAGUUAAAAUCCCCAAACAAUAAAACGAUGGGAUAGAAAAGCAGGGCCAUAUUUUUCAUAUUGAAAUUUAUAACCAAACUUUUAUGCAAACCAUAAAUCACUUCAUAACUAUUCACAUCAAAAAGGAGAUCUCAAAAGAAGAUAAACUCUCAGCCAUCCGGGCCAUACUCAAGGCCCCUCUCGGGACUAUCUUCUUCUUCCAAAAAUCCUUCUCUUCAGAUCUCACCUCCGAGUUCUCCUUCUCGGAUUCCUCCUCCUCAGCUCUUCAGCGGGGUCCUGAAAUGGUUUCCCCAAACUGGGAUGAGACUACGUCUCAGUGAGUUCUACCCCACUAAGCCCGAUUAGUAAACCAAUAUACUAAAGGCUGCCUAAACACGCACAGAGCAGAUGACUUACCUUGGCCUCUGAUCCCACCUGCAAGUCAGUACAAUUCACAAUAAACAACCAUUCGCUUCAAACAAAUCGAACUAGUCGAUUACAUGUCAUACAAUUCAAUCCCCACUGUGGGAUAUUUAAAAGCUAGGCCACGUGCAUUCUCCAGGACGACCUUCCAAGUCUCCGAGCCACGUGCCUCAAACCUCGGACCCACGUGCAUUCUCUAAGGCGACCUCUUCGCCAAGGUGGUACAUCAAGCCACCGAGCCACGUGUCCUUUUUACGAUGCCCGGGCCCACGUGCAUUCUCUAAGGUACUCGCUUACCAAAGUGACGCAUCAGAUCACCGAGCCACGUGCCCUUUUAGAUGCCAUUCCGAAUACUGGACCCACGUGCAUUCUCUAAGGUACUCGCUUACCAAAGUGAUGCAUCAGAUCACUGAGCCACGUGUCCUUUUAGAUGCCUGGGCCCACGUGCAUUCUCUAAGGUACUCGCUUACCAAAGUGACGCAUCAGAUCACCGAGCCACGUGCCCUUUUAGAUGCCAAACUCUGUCACCGAGCCACGUGCAUUCUUCAGGACGACAUACCGAGUCUCCGAGCCACGUGCAUUCUCUCAGGCGACCUCUUCGCCAAGGUGACAUAUUCAACCACUGAACUCACGUGCAUUUUCCAGGUGACAUUCCAAUUCACCGAGUCCACGUGUCCUCUUUCAAGUGGUUACCAAUCUUCUUUCAAUACCGACAACCAAUGCCCAACGAUUUCUCAAUCAAAUAAUUAAAUCAACUCAACAAAGCAUUAUAAAUGCUGAAUAACAUACUUGGCCAAUCACCAAUCAAUAAUUCAAUCUCAAUCGAUUCCAAUCAAUUUAGGGUAAAUCCCUAAAAUAUCACAAUUUAUUCAAUUCCAUACAACGUAGAGCUCAAAUAAAUAAACGGACUGCGCCACGACAAUCAGCACGAGAUUUCGGUCGUCGGCCAUCAAAAUCUUAAUUUCCGAAAAAUAAUUAAUUAAUUUAUUAAUUUCGAAAAUUAAAUAAUUAAUAUUAAAAAUUCAAUUUAGCUCAAAAUAAAGCCCGAUUAACUAAACGGACUUCACCACGGUCAUCAGCACAAUAUUCCGGUCCCGAGCCAUAUCAGUUGAAUUUUCGGAAAAUAAAUAAUUUUUUAAUUUAAUUCCGAAAAUUAAUAUUUAAAUACAAAAAAAUCCACUUAGGCCCGAAAAGCCUAAUUGGAGCCCACUAAGGGUCGGGAAAAAUCCCGAGACACUUCCAAUAAUUAGUAGACCACGUCUACUUGCUAAUUGCGCAAUCAAUUUAUCUAAAUCGCAUCACAAUUGACUAAUAAUUGCUAAUUUAUUCUAAUCUAACAACCUAAACAUAAUUAAUUAAAUAUAAACCAACCUUAAGCAUAAUUAGCCAACUAAUCCAGGAUCUGAGAUUACUCACCAAAUCGCGCGCAAAUCGGAUCAAUCCGAUGGGCGGUGACGCGAGGAACGAUUGUUCCCAAAGCGACUCACGGAUCCGGGGCCCGGAAACGGCCCAAAAGCGGGCCCGAAGUCGCUGAAACCCACUCCGUGGGCUUGCUGGACGGGCCUGAUCGGGGCUGCUCCGGCGGCUAGGGCGGCGAGGGGAAGCCAGCGGAGGGCGAGGGGGACGCGGGGGUGGUCCGGCGGGGCUGGACGGUGGCCGGAGGUGGCCGGACGGAGGCUGGGCAGAGGCGAACAGAGCUGGGUCCGCUCGGGGGAAGAACGUCUGGGCGGAGGAAAGGGCCGGCGACGCACGGCGGCGAGCGGCGCGCGCAUGAGCGCGGGCGCGGGCGUGCGGUGCGGCGGCGAGACGAGCGGCGACGGCUGAGGGGCGAGCUGCUGUCUCCGAUUUUCUGCUUCUGGUUUUCGCUUGCUGGAGCGUGCAGAGGAAGAAAGAAGAAGAAGAAUACGGUCACGUGGGGGAGGAGGAAAGAGAAGAGAGAGAGAGAGAGGAGAGAGAGGAAGGGAUAGGCAUUGACCGGUCAAGGAAGGGGAGAGAGAGAGAAGUCGGUGGGGGAGUCGCACGAAGGGGGAGGGAAAGGGGAGAGGAGAGAGAGAGAAAAGAAAG